UGUAGCUGUAGAUACUUUGAC
Molecule: non-coding RNA, 21 nt
Filed under: Caenorhabditis elegans
Lineage: Eukaryota; Metazoa; Nematoda; Chromadorea; Rhabditida; Rhabditidae
Source: RNAcentral